ACGAAUUCCGCGGCGUACUUGGGGGAAACCUCACCAGGCCCGAACACCGAAACAGCCCCCACGAGCUCAU
This 70-nucleotide ribosomal RNA is filed under the name Pseudophacopteron canarium. Its description in RNAcentral is "partial 18S ribosomal RNA". Lineage: Eukaryota; Metazoa; Arthropoda; Insecta; Hemiptera; Phacopteronidae. The record is from RNAcentral.